Molecule: long non-coding RNA, 1036 nt
Organism: Anthonomus grandis grandis
Lineage: Eukaryota; Metazoa; Arthropoda; Insecta; Coleoptera; Curculionidae
Exons: 2
Source: RefSeq, a predicted model, not a curated record
CUCGAACAUCGGCAAAAUAGCGGUUCUGAUUGGCAUUGGCAGGGGACAAUUUUAAUUAGCAAGUAGGUAUUCUUGAAUUUAUCGUUUAUACUGAUAGUAUAGGUUUUUUCUUUUCUUUUGGCUACUAGAGCUACAUAACAUGGAUUUUGGACGGAUUUUUUUUGUACGGACCUGAUUUCUUCAUGCCACAUGGUGCUUCCGUUUUGGGGUUAUGUACUCUACUGGCUCUAAUCUAGAAGGAGAUUUUAAGCAACUGUGAGCUAACGUCUAACCUAGACCACUACCAGAGCUUGGCGUAUUGUGAAGUGGAAGAGGUGAAGCUUGGAAGCCUGCAGUUUUUUCCUUGACUGGGAAUUGGAUGUCUGGGAGAGUCUCGAAUAUGAAGUAGUCUGCUGUGUAUGGAGCUAAGUGACAGAACAUAACAUUUUUUUUUAUUCACUUGUUUUAUUUUAUUUUUAUUAUCACGACUUUUAUCUUUUGAGUUGAGAUACAUACAUAAGCUUAUUUAAAAUUUUAUUGACAUUAUUUAAUCGAUGCUAUUUUAUUAUUGAAUAUUACUGAUAAGAGUACAUAUAUAUGUGACAAGUGACUCCUGUGAGGUAAGACGCAGCCGGCUUCGUAGUACUACGAGUAUAUACUUGGGUUAUAUUAUUUAUUUUCAGACUACUCCUAAGAUGUCAAAUUUUCUCAGAUUAGCUAGUAAAUGUUAGAGUAAACUAAUAAAAGGGUAAUUUUAAGUGGGGAAGCUUCAACAGUUAGGGUUGUUAUUUUUUUUUGCUUAGGUCAAUGUCCGUGGCGGGAUAUACCGGGCCAUGUAAGUUAUUAGUUUAAUUGAAUUGAAGCUUCAUUCCCCAAAAGGUUUGGGUGUAACAUAGUUUGUUUUAUUUCGACAACCACACUUUGAUUGUGUAUUUUUUGUGUGAUGUUGUGGUUCCUUAUUACCAACUUAAAUAAUUAUUCCUCUUAACAAUAAAUAACAUAACAUAAUUCUCUGUGAUAAUCAAGACUGAAAUAAAUUGUUAUUUUCUGUUGUUAA